Molecule: non-coding RNA, 2065 nt
Organism: Prunus avium (sweet cherry)
Lineage: Eukaryota; Viridiplantae; Streptophyta; Magnoliopsida; Rosales; Rosaceae
Source: RefSeq, a predicted model, not a curated record
CAUUUGCCUCGCUGCCUGGCUCGCUUCACUGAAUAACUUCCCAUCAAAAUCUUCAAGUUCAAGGCCAAAAAAAAGGUGGGAAAUUCCUCAUUUGAGCUCUCAUGGCGUCUCCCAAGAAAUCAAAGAAAAGCAAGAAAGAUAGGAAAUUGGAGAAAAACUUAAGCUUGGUUCCAGUCGAGCCUAAAGCCACAGACUCUGACUGGUGGGAUAGUUUCUUCAACCCAAGGUUGCAAUAUCUGUGAUCAGGGUACUUUUGUUUGUGGCAAGGCCAAGGACUUUUGUUGAAGGAAACCUUCCAAAUUCCAUGGUUACAGAAAUGUUGAGUAGUAUCCCAAUGCAAUCAAUGUUCCUGGAAUUCUCAUACUUGAGAUUGAUGCUCCCAUUGACUUUGCAAAUACCAACUACUUAAGAGAAAGGCACACAGGUUGGAGAGGACUUGAUGAAGGCAUCAUUAUAGUUGGGACUUGCAUGAUUUAAAAGAUACAAUGGCUGGUUGCAUGUCAACCCCAUCCAAAACAAUUAAAUGACCGAAAAAACACUAUCAAAGGGUCAUCAAACGCCCUAGAAAGGCAACCUGCUCCGCUUCAGAUGGUACCAAGAAAAGAAAUACCAGUUUCAAGAAAAGAAAUAGUGAUGCAGGAGCUCGCGUGAGUGACUAUGCUGUUAGUGAGUUUGUUGAUGUGGACUUUGAGAAUGGUGCAAGAACUACUCACAGAAGAUCUAAGGUUUCUAAUUCAACAUUCCAUCUCACCCAGCUGCAAUGGCACCACAGUCAAUAUGAUUCGAAUUUAAUUUUCCAAGGGGAAGCUUGGUUUGACUCAGUGAGUAUUCUGGAGUCUGACUCGGAUAAUGACUUUAUCAGUAUACAUGGAGAUGGUUUUCCAUUAGCAAGCAAUCCAGUUGGGAAUAUCUCAAGUGGCCAAGUACUUCAGUACGAAAGAUCUGCUCGCUUUGUUGAUAAUGAGUGUAAGUAUGAAGAAUACCAAAGCUAUAUGAAAAUAGAUGGAGGUAAAUCAGAUAAAAUCAUAGGAAAAGAUGAGCGCAGGGAAUCAAAUUGGUUUUCGCUUAUUAGUACCCAAGGCUAUGAGUUUUCUCGCUUAGGGAAGGCUGAUUAAGUUCGUAGUAAGAGGAAGAAUAUAUUAGAUCACUCUUAUGGAAGCUUUAAAGGACUUAGAGGAUGGAAGUGAUUUUAAUGAAAAAAUUCAAGACAAUGCCCUGAAAUCCGGCUUAUCUCGAUUGGUACCUUCUGUAAGUUUCAACGAUAAGAUUCUAAGUGCACAGAGUGUGGUUCAGACUUUCUUUUAAAAGGAGAUCAUGUGAUGCAGAAGAAACCAUUGAACAAUGUCAAUCAAAAAGGUUUUUGUAUCGGCCUAGACGAGGAUAUAUCAUUCCAUGUUGUAGAGUAGAGAAGCCGACUUCAGGAUCUUGGUCUGCGAUUCCACCCUCACCUUUUAAAUUCCGUGGCGAGAACUAUUUCAAAGAUAACGAAAUUCAACUGCUCCGAACUACAUUCCAUAUACUCCAAUAGGUGUUGAUGUGUUUGUAUGCGCUAGAAAGAUACAUCACAUUGCCCAGCAUCUUGAGCUUCCCAAAGUGAAAGCAAAUGGGAAAAUGUUCAUUGUAAACAUACAGUUGCCUACUUAUCCUGCUGCAAUGUUUCUUGGUGAUAGUGAUGGAGAGGGGAUGAGUCUUGUAAUGUAUUUCAAAGUUUCUGAGAAUUUUGAUAAAGACAUCUCUCCUCAAUUCCAGGACAACAUCAAGAUGAGACGAAAAAAGUUAAAGGAUUCGCAAAGGACCCCACUGUACCUUUUAGAGAAAGACUAAAGAUCUUGGCUGGGGUGGUAAAUCCUGAGGAUCUUGGUCGGAGUUCUGCUGAGAAGAAGCCUUUACAUGCAUAUAAUGACAAACCAUUUCUUUCACGCCCCCAGCACAAUUUUUACAAGGGUCCUAACUACUGUGAGAUUGAUCUGGACAUUCAUCGCUUCAGCUACAUAUCAAGGAACGGUCUCGAAUGGAUUCGAGUACGUCUAAAAAACGGAAUACCGGCGCGGCUAUACUCGUGAAA